RNAcentral lists this ribosomal RNA (460 nucleotides) under Lachnospiraceae bacterium oral taxon 107. RNAcentral's name for it is "bacterial SSU rRNA". It matches the Rfam family "Bacterial small subunit ribosomal RNA", at positions 28 to 489 of the family's 1533-position model. The record is from RNAcentral. Lineage: Bacteria; Bacillati; Bacillota; Clostridia; Lachnospirales; Lachnospiraceae.
GAUGAACGCUGGCGGCGUGCUUAACACAUGCAAGUCGAACGAAGCUGCUUAAAGGAAGUUUUCGGAUGGAAUUUAGGUAGACUUAGUGGCGGACGGGUGAGUAACGCGUGGAUAACCUGCCUUAUACAGGGGGAUAACGGAGAGAAAUUUCCGCUAACACCGCAUAAGACCACAGCACCGCAUGGUGCAGGGGUAAAAUAUUUAUAGGUAUAAGAUGGAUCCGCGUCCGAUUAGCUUGUUGGUGAGGUAGAGGCUCACCAAGGCGACGAUCGGUAGCCGGCCUGAGAGGGUGAACGGCCACAUUGGGACUGAGACACGGCCCAAACUCCUACGGGAGGCAGCAGUGGGGAAUAUUGGACAAUGGGGGAAACCCUGAUCCAGCGACGCCGCGUGAGUGAAGAAGUAUUUCGGUAUGUAAAGCUCUAUCAGCAGGGAAGAAAAUGACGUACCUGACUAAGAG